Molecule: ribosomal RNA, 386 nt
Filed under: uncultured prokaryote
Description: bacterial SSU rRNA
Rfam family: Archaeal small subunit ribosomal RNA
Source: RNAcentral
GCGCGAAAACUUUACAAUGCUGGCAACAGCGAUAAGGGAACCUCGAGUGCCAGGUUACAAAUCUGGCUGUCGAGAUGCCUAAAAAGCAUUUCAUAGCAAGGGCCGGGCAAGACCGGUGCCAGCCGCCGCGGUAACACCGGCGGCUCGAGUGGUAACCGUUAUUAUUGGGUCUCACGGGUCUGUAGCCGGCCGGAUAAGUCUCUUGAGAAAUCUGGAAGCUUAACGUUCAGGGUUGCAGGAGAUACUGUCUGGCUCGAGGCCGGUAGAGGUGAGAGGUACUUCAGGGGUAGGGGUGAAAUCUUGUAAUCCUUGAAGGACCACCAGUGGCGAAGGCGUCUCACCAGAACGGACCUGACGGCAAGGGACGAAAGCUAGGGGCACGAACC